GGAGAGAUGGCAGAGUGGUCUAAUGCAUCGGUUUUGAAAACCGAAAUAGCGAAAGCUAUCGAGGGUUCGACUCCCUCUCUUUCCU
Molecule: transfer RNA, 85 nt
Filed under: Stichococcus bacillaris
Lineage: Eukaryota; Viridiplantae; Chlorophyta; Trebouxiophyceae; Prasiolales; Stichococcaceae
Description: tRNA-Ser
Rfam family: tRNA
About the family: Transfer RNA (tRNA) molecules are approximately 80 nucleotides in length.
Source: RNAcentral